AUAUAGAAAUAUAUAAAUUAAUUUUUUUUUAAAUCCCAAAUAAUAGUUUUUAAUCACAAAAAAAGUUUUAUAGAUAUUAAAAAUGUUUUGUAAAAUCCAAAAAAUCGAAUUUAUAUACAAAAAACAUUUUGUAAAAUCCAAAAAAUCGAAUUACAAAAAUCGUUUUGUAAAAUACAAAAAUCGAUUUUAUAUACAAAAAUCGAUUUUAUAAAUACAAAAAAAUAAAAAAAAUUAUAAAAAAAUUCUAAAUCAAUUCAACAAAACAA
Molecule: long non-coding RNA, 266 nt
Filed under: Brassica napus (rape)
Lineage: Eukaryota; Viridiplantae; Streptophyta; Magnoliopsida; Brassicales; Brassicaceae
Description: long non-coding RNA (BNAP_LNC017222)
Source: RNAcentral